UACGGAGGGUGCAAGCAUUGAUCGGAAUUACUGGGCGUAAAGGGCGCGUAGGCGGCACGAUAAGUCAGAUGUGAAAUUCCGGGGCUCAACCCCGGAGCUGCAUUUGAAACUGUCGAGCUAGAGUACAGUUAGGGUAAACGGAAUUCCACGUGUAGCGGUGAAAUGCGUAGAUAUGUGGAAGAACACCGGUGGUGAAGACGGUUUACUGGGCUGAAACUGACGCUGAGGCGCGAAAGCAUGGGGAGCAAACAGG
RNAcentral lists this ribosomal RNA (253 nucleotides) under uncultured Simkania sp. RNAcentral's name for it is "partial 16S ribosomal RNA". It matches the Rfam family "Bacterial small subunit ribosomal RNA", at positions 524 to 776 of the family's 1533-position model. Lineage: Bacteria; Pseudomonadati; Chlamydiota; Chlamydiia; Parachlamydiales; Simkaniaceae. The record is from RNAcentral.